CGGCUAACACAUGCAAGUCGAGCGGUAGAGAGGUGACGCACCUCUUGAGAGCGGCGGACGGGUGAGUAAUGCCUAGGAAUCUGCCUGGUAGUGGGGGAUAACGCUCGGAAACGGACGCUAAUACCGCAUACGUCCUACGGGAGAAAGCAGGGGACCUUCGGGCCUUGCGCUAUCAGAUGAGCCUAGGUCGGAUUAGCUAGUUGGUGAGGUAAUGGCUCACCAAGGCGACGAUCCGUAACUGGUCUGAGAGGAUGAUCAGUCACACUGGAACUGAGACACGGUCCAGACUCCUACGGGAGGCAGCAGUGGGGAAUAUUGGACAAUGGGCGAAAGCCUGAUCCAGCCAUGCCGCGUGUGUGAAGAAGGUCUUCGGAUUGUAAAGCACUUUAAGUUGGGAGGAAGGGCAGUUACCUAAUACGUAUCUGUUUUGACGUUACCGACAGAAUAAGCACCGGCUAACUCUGUGCCAGCAGCCGCGGUAAUACAGAGGGUGCAAGCGUUAAUCGGAAUUACUGGGCGUAAAGCGCGCGUAGGUGGUUCGUUAAGUUGGAUGUGAAAGCCCCGGGCUCAACCUGGGAACUGCAUUCAAAACUGACGAGCUAGAGUAUGGUAGAGGGUGGUGGAAUUUCCUGUGUAGCGGUGAAAUGCGUAGAUAUAGGAAGGAA
This 665-nucleotide ribosomal RNA is filed under the name Pseudomonas sp. RNAcentral describes it as "bacterial SSU rRNA". It matches the Rfam family "Bacterial small subunit ribosomal RNA", at positions 44 to 706 of the family's 1533-position model. Lineage: Bacteria; Pseudomonadati; Pseudomonadota; Gammaproteobacteria; Pseudomonadales; Pseudomonadaceae. The record is from RNAcentral.